AUAUUGUACAAUGGGCGAAAGCCUGAUGCAGCAACGCCGCGUGAGUGAUGAAGGCCUUCGGGUCGUAAAGCUCUUUGAUCAGGGAGGAUAAUGACAGUACCUGAACAACAAGCCACGGCUCAGUACGUGCCAGCCGCCGCGGUAAUACGUAGGUGGCGAGCGUUGUCCGGAAUUACUGGGCGUAAAGGAUGCGUAGGUGGAUACUUAAGUGGGGUGUGAAAUCCCCGGGCUCAACCCGGGAACUGCAUUCCAAACUGAGUAUCUAGAGUGCAGGAGAGGAAAGCGGAAUUCCUAGUGUAGCGGUGAAAUGCGUAGAUAUUAGGAGGAACACCAGUGGCGAAGGCGGAUUUCUGGACUGUAACUGACAAUGAGGCAUGAAAGCGUGGGUAGCAAACAGG
This 398-nucleotide ribosomal RNA is filed under the name uncultured bacterium. RNAcentral's name for it is "partial 16S ribosomal RNA". It matches the Rfam family "Bacterial small subunit ribosomal RNA", at positions 361 to 776 of the family's 1533-position model. The record is from RNAcentral.